GUGAACGCUGGCGGUAGGCCUAACACAUGCAAGUCGAACGGCAGCACAGUAAGAGCUUGCUCUUACGGGUGGCGAGUGGCGGACGGGUGAGGAAUACAUCGGAAUCUACUUUUUCGUGGGGGAUAACGUAGGGAAACUUACGCUAAUACCGCAUACGACCUACGGGUGAAAACAGGGGAUCUUCGGACCUUGCGCGAUUGAAUGAGCCGAUGUCGGAUUAGCUAGUUGGCGGGGUAAAGGCCCACCAAGGCGACGAUCCGUAGCUGGUCUGAGAGGAUGAUCAGCCACACUGGAACUGAGACACGGUCCAGACUCCUACGGGAGGCAGCAGUGGGGAAUAUUGGACAAUGGGCGCAAGCCUGAUCCAGCCAUACCGCGUGGGUGAAGAAGGCCUUCGGGUUGUAAAGCCCUUUUGUUGGGAAAGAAAAGCAGCAGGUUAAUACCCCGCUGUUCUGACGGUACCCAAAGAAUAAGCACCGGCUAACUUCGUG
This 491-nucleotide ribosomal RNA is filed under the name uncultured bacterium. RNAcentral's name for it is "partial 16S ribosomal RNA". It matches the Rfam family "Bacterial small subunit ribosomal RNA", at positions 29 to 507 of the family's 1533-position model. The record is from RNAcentral.